AAGGCUUCAGUACGACCCAGUCAGAACUAUAAGUCUCAAAGCCCCGACGAGUAGGGUGGCGUGCCGGUGCGCGUUGAAGGCCAAGACGUGAGUCAGGCUGGAGCCGCCGGUAGUGCAGAUCUUGGUGGUAGUAGCAAGUACUCUGGUGAACCAACCUGGAGCUGUGAGGUCUGGAUUAGGGUUCCAUGUCAACAGUGAUUGAACAUGGGUGAGUCGAUCCUAAGCCAACUGUGAAAGCAGUGACAUCCCAACAAAGGAGCAUUUCGUGCGCCCGACUUACACCCCCAAUGCAAAGCUCUCGUGUAUCUCUCUCUCGCACAUGCGCACGCACACACAAUGAUCACUUAAAAUAAAGUGAGUGUGUGUGUGCUUCUAUGGUUACGCUCACGAGCGUUGAGGAUAUGCUGUCUGUCUUAUAAAAAGAGAGAGAGAGAGAAAGAGAGUGGGUGAGCGUGAGUUAUUGCUAUUGCAAUUGCAUGGCUUCCUGCGUUGGUUCUAUGUCCGGCGAAAGGGAAUGGGGACUUUGUUCCUUGACCGGUCCCGGCACCCUCGAUUGGCUCUGCCAAUUAAUGGUCCAUGCAAAUGGAACCAGGCCACAGCCGCUGGCAGUCGCCCGAGGAAGAGUUUUCUUUUCUGCUUAACGCACGAGGUCAUCCCUGGAAACAGUUCGGCUGGCGAAAGGGUGCCCCGUUGCGGCAGAGCGCCACGACUGUCGUGCGCGUCUCGGUGUUCCUGCCGGUCCGUGAAGACGUGGUCGAGGGGAUUGCUAUCUUGUAUCAACGAAACGCCUGACAAGUUCGGGACGGACCGUACCCUAUAUCCGCAUCUGGUCUCCAAGGUUCGUAGCCUCUGCAGAGUCAGACACAUGUAGGUAAGGGAAGUCGGCAAACUCGAUCCGUAACUUCGGGAAAAGGAUUGGCUCUGAGGGCCGAGCUGGGCCGGGCCUUGCCUGCAAAGCAGUACCUAUAGUGACCGGAGUUUCAGGAGUGCGAGGGGCUCUAGUAGCUGCUUGUGCGUGUGUGCGUUCGCGCGUGCGCGCGUGUGGGCACGAACGAGUCCACCGCUCCGCUCCAACCACGAACGGCUGUGACGGCAAGGGCUCUGGGCGGGAGCGAUCGAUCCGUUGGCCCCCAGCUCGUCUGGGUGGCGGCGGUGCUCCGUCUGACCCAUACGGCUCCAGCGGCUAGCGGCUAACUCAGAACUGUCAUGGACCAAGGGAAUCCGACUGUCUAAUUAAAACAAAGCGUCGUGACGGCCCCUGUUGGGUGUUGACGCGACGUGAUUUC
RNAcentral lists this ribosomal RNA (1286 nucleotides) under Niphargus sphagnicolus. RNAcentral describes it as "partial 28S ribosomal RNA". It matches the Rfam family "Eukaryotic large subunit ribosomal RNA", at positions 1357 to 2198 of the family's 3401-position model. Lineage: Eukaryota; Metazoa; Arthropoda; Malacostraca; Amphipoda; Niphargidae. The record is from RNAcentral.